This 236-nucleotide ribosomal RNA is filed under the name uncultured Actinomycetales bacterium. RNAcentral describes it as "partial 16S ribosomal RNA". It matches the Rfam family "Bacterial small subunit ribosomal RNA", at positions 97 to 334 of the family's 1533-position model. Lineage: Bacteria; Bacillati; Actinomycetota; Actinomycetes; Actinomycetales. The record is from RNAcentral.
GGCGAACGGGUGAGUAACACGUGAGUAACCUGCCCUUGACUUUGGGAUAACUUCAGGAGACUGGGGCUAAUACCGGAUAGGAGCUCCUGCUGCAUGGUGGGGGUUGGAAAGUUUCGGCGGUUGGGGAUGGACUCGCGGCUUAUCAGCUUGUUGGUGGGGUAGUGGCUUACCAAGGCUUUGACGGGUAGCCGGCCUGAGAGGGUGACCGGCCACAUUGGGACUGAGAUACGGCCCAG